GACGUAGUGCGCAAGCGUUGUCCGGAUUUAUUGGGCGUAAAGAGCUCGUAGGCGGCUUGUUGCGUCGUCCGUGAAAACCUGUGGCUCAACUACAGGCUUGCGGUCGAUACGGGCGGGCUGGAGUUCGGUAGGGGAGACUGGAAUUCCUGGUGUAGCGGUGAAAUGCGCAGAUAUCAGGAGGAACACCGGUGGCGAAGGCGGGUCUCUGGGCCGAUACUGACGCUGAGGAGCGAAAGCGUGGGGAGCGAACAGG
RNAcentral lists this ribosomal RNA (253 nucleotides) under uncultured bacterium. RNAcentral describes it as "partial 16S ribosomal RNA". It matches the Rfam family "Bacterial small subunit ribosomal RNA", at positions 524 to 776 of the family's 1533-position model. The record is from RNAcentral.